This 375-nucleotide ribosomal RNA is filed under the name uncultured bacterium. RNAcentral describes it as "bacterial SSU rRNA". It matches the Rfam family "Bacterial small subunit ribosomal RNA", at positions 521 to 896 of the family's 1533-position model. The record is from RNAcentral.
UAAUACGAAGGGGGCUAGCGUUGUUCGGAAUUACUGGGCGUAAAGGGCGCGUAGGCGGUUUGACCAGUCAGGUGUGAAAUUCCCGGGCUUAACCUGGGGGCUGCACUUGAUACUGUCAGGCUUGAAUUCGGGAGAGGAUAGCGGAAUUCCCAGUGUAGAGGUGAAAUUCGUAGAUAUUGGGAAGAACACCGGUGGCGAAGGCGGCUAUCUGGACCGACAUUGACGCUGAGGCGCGAAAGCGUGGGGAGCAAACAGGAUUAGAUACCCUGGUAGUCCACGCCGUAAACGAUGAGUGCUAGACGCUGGUAGGUUUACCUAUCGGUGUCGCAGCUAACGCAUUAAGCACUCCGCCUGGGGAGUACGGUCGCAAGAUUA